GACUGUUUAGUAUAUUUUAGUACGUCUAACUUCCAAUUAGAAGGUCUAUAUAAUAGAAUAGUCA
Molecule: transfer RNA, 64 nt
Filed under: Haematopinus tuberculatus
Lineage: Eukaryota; Metazoa; Arthropoda; Insecta; Psocodea; Haematopinidae
Description: tRNA-Gly
Source: RNAcentral